RNAcentral lists this ribosomal RNA (400 nucleotides) under uncultured bacterium. RNAcentral describes it as "bacterial SSU rRNA". It matches the Rfam family "Bacterial small subunit ribosomal RNA", at positions 28 to 320 of the family's 1533-position model. The record is from RNAcentral.
GAUGAACGCUGGCGGCGUGCCUAAUACAUGCAAGUCGAGCGGUAAGGCUUCCACAAUUUGCUUAAACGAUGAGACUGGUCGCGGAAGUUUCGAAGAAACUUUCGCCUCUAAAACGAAGUGAUGAACUUCGGUCUAUCAUAAAUCCAACUCUAGGCAGAGGAGGAGUUUGAGCAAAAUGUGGAAGUACACGAGCGGCGGACGGCUGAGUAACGCGUAGGAACGUACCCCAAAGUGAGGGAUAGCCCACCGAAAGGUGGAUUAAUACCGCAUGUGGUCCAAGGACUAAAGCUUUAUGCGCUUUGGGAACGGCCUGCGUAUGAUUAGCUAGUUGGUGAGGUAAUGGCUCACCAAGGCGACGAUCAUUAGCUGGUCUGAGAGGAUGAUCAGCCAGACUGGGACU